This is a long non-coding RNA of Pan troglodytes (chimpanzee), 215 nucleotides long. RefSeq lists it as uncharacterized. Lineage: Eukaryota; Metazoa; Chordata; Mammalia; Primates; Hominidae. The transcript is spliced from 3 exons. The record is from RefSeq and is a predicted model, not a curated record.
GUCCAGUUGGCAGAGCAAGGCUGAGACACCGCCAUGAAGUUGCUUGUCCAUUUCUAAAGCAUAUACAGGGCUGUGAGUCUCAAUCAGAGGUCAGCACCAGAAUCAACCAAGGAGCUUUUCCAGUCUGCAGGGCACAGCGGCUCAUGCCUAUUAUCCCAGCACUUUGAGAGGCUGAGGCGGGAGAAUCACUUGAGCACAGGAUUUCAAGACCAGCA